Molecule: ribosomal RNA, 683 nt
Filed under: Salmonella enterica subsp. enterica serovar Oranienburg
Lineage: Bacteria; Pseudomonadati; Pseudomonadota; Gammaproteobacteria; Enterobacterales; Enterobacteriaceae
Description: partial 23S ribosomal RNA
Rfam family: Bacterial large subunit ribosomal RNA
Source: RNAcentral
GGGUUGUGAGGUUAAGCGACUAAGCGUACACGGUGGAUGCCCUGGCAGUCAGAGGCGAUGAAGGACGUGCUAAUCUGCGAUAAGCGCCGGUAAGGUGAUAUGAACCGUUAUAACCGGCGAUUUCCGAAUGGGGAAACCCAGUGUGACUCGUCACACUAUCAUUAACUGAAUCCAUAGGUUAAUGAGGCGAACCGGGGGAACUGAAACAUCUAAGUACCCCGAGGAAAAGAAAUCAACCGAGAUUCCCCCAGUAGCGGCGAGCGAACGGGGAGGAGCCCAGAGCCUGAAUCAGCAUGUGUGUUAGUGGAAGCGUCUGGAAAGGCGCGCGAUACAGGGUGACAGCCCCGUACACAAAAGCGCAUGUGCUGUGAGCUCGAUGAGUAGGGCGGGACACGUGGUAUCCUGUCUGAAUAUGGGGGGACCAUCCUCCAAGGCUAAAUACUCCUGACUGACCGAUAGUGAACCAGUACCGUGAGGGAAAGGCGAAAAGAACCCCGGCGAGGGGAGUGAAAAAGAACCUGAAACCGUGUACGUACAAGCAGUGGGAGCACCCUUUGGGGUGUGACUGCGUACCUUUUGUAUAAUGGGUCAGCGACUUAUAUUCUGUAGCAAGGUUAACCGUAUAGGGGAGCCGGAGGGAAACCGAGUCUUAAUUGGGCGUUAAGUUGCAGGGUAUAGACCCG